GAUGAAGAACGUAGCGAAAUGCGAUAAGUAAUGUGAAUUGCAGAAUUCAGUGAAUCAUCGAAUCUUUGAAAGCACAUUGCGCCCGCCAGUAUUCUGGCGGGCAUGCCUGUUCGAGCGUCAUUUCAACCCUCAAGCCCCCGGGCUUGGUGUUGGGGAUCGGCGUGCCCUCGCGGCGCGCCGUCCCCUAAAUCUAGUGGCGGUCUCGCUGUAGCUUCCUCUGCGUAGUAGCAACACUCGCACUGGAUCGCAGCGCGGCCACGCCGUUAAACCCCCCACUUCUGAAAGUUUGACCUCGGAUCAGGUAGGAAUACCCGCUGAACUUAAGCAUAUCAAUAAGCGGAGGA
Molecule: unclassified non-coding RNA, 344 nt
Filed under: soil metagenome
Description: partial contains 5.8S ribosomal RNA, internal transcribed spacer 2, and large subunit ribosomal RNA
Rfam family: 5.8S ribosomal RNA (bases 1-120)
Source: RNAcentral